AGUGAACGCUGGCGGUAGGCCUAACACAUGCAAGUCGAACGGCAGCACAGUAAGAGCUUGCUCUUACGGGUGGCGAGUGGCGGACGGGUGAGGAAUACAUCGGAAUCUACUUUUUCGUGGGGGAUAACGUAGGGAAACUUACGCUAAUACCGCACACGACCUACGGGUGAAAGCAUGGGAUCUUCGGACCUUGCGCGAUUGAAUGAGCCGAUGUCGGAUUAGCUAGUUGGCGGGGUAAAGGCCCACCAAGGCGACGAUCCGUAGCUGGUCUGAGAGGAUGAUCAGCCACACUGGAACUGAGACACGGUCCGGACUCCUACGGGAGGCAGCAGUGGGGAAUAUUGGACAAUGGGCGCAAGCCUGAUCCAGCCAUACCGCGUGGGUGAAGAAGGCCUUCGGGUUGUAAAGCCCUUUUGUUGGGAAAGAAGAGCAGCAGGUUAAUACCCCGCUGUUCUGACGGUACCCAAAGAAUAAGCACCGGCUAACUUCGUG
RNAcentral lists this ribosomal RNA (492 nucleotides) under uncultured bacterium. RNAcentral describes it as "partial 16S ribosomal RNA". It matches the Rfam family "Bacterial small subunit ribosomal RNA", at positions 29 to 507 of the family's 1533-position model. The record is from RNAcentral.